UUCAGUGUAUUAGGAAAGAGAUUGAGAAGGCAACAUGUGGUAAAGUUAAGAUCCAGAAAGCAUCCAAGUUUGAUGUUGGUAAACUGAUGGAUGUGCAAUGGAGUGAUUUUAACUUGUUUUAAUUUCCUAAGUGGGUUGUUGUUUUUAAUGUGCUUUCCUUUUUUACAAGAAUCUAUAAUUUGGAACAAUUUAGAGGUUCAAUUA
This 204-nucleotide long non-coding RNA is filed under the name Lupinus angustifolius (narrow-leaved blue lupine). RNAcentral describes it as "long non-coding RNA (LANG_LNC003729)". The record is from RNAcentral. Lineage: Eukaryota; Viridiplantae; Streptophyta; Magnoliopsida; Fabales; Fabaceae.